Molecule: ribosomal RNA, 482 nt
Filed under: uncultured bacterium
Lineage: Bacteria
Description: partial 16S ribosomal RNA
Rfam family: Bacterial small subunit ribosomal RNA
Source: RNAcentral
AUUGAACGCUGGCGGCAUGCCUUACACAUGCAAGUCGAACGGUAACGAGCCUUCGGGUGCCGACGAGUGGCGCACGGGUGAGUAAUACAUCGGAACGUGCCCGAUCGUGGGGGAUAACGAGGCGAAAGCUUUGCUAAUACCGCAUACGAUCUACGGAUGAAAGCAGGGGACCGCAAGGCCUUGCGCGGACGGAGCGGCCGAUGGCAGAUUAGGUAGUUGGUGGGAUAAAAGCUUACCAAGCCGACGAUCUGUAGCUGGUCUGAGAGGAUGAUCAGCCACACUGGGACUGAGACACGGCCCAGACUCCUACGGGAGGCAGCAGUGGGGAAUUUUGGACAAUGGGCGCAAGCCUGAUCCAGCCAUGCCGCGUGCAGGAUGAAGGCCUUCGGGUUGUAAACUGCUUUUGUACGGAACGAAAAGCCUUCUUUUAAUACGGGAGGGUCAUGACGGUACCGUAAGAAUAAGCACCGGCUAACUACGUG